RNAcentral lists this ribosomal RNA (460 nucleotides) under uncultured Bacteroidota bacterium. Its description in RNAcentral is "bacterial SSU rRNA". It matches the Rfam family "Bacterial small subunit ribosomal RNA", at positions 338 to 795 of the family's 1533-position model. The record is from RNAcentral. Lineage: Bacteria; Pseudomonadati; Bacteroidota.
CCUACGGGCGGCUGCAGUGAGGAAUAUUGGUCAAUGGACGGAAGUCUGAACCAGCCAUGCCGCGUGAAGGAAGACUGCCCUAUGGGUUGUAAACUUCUUUUAUACGGGGAUAAACCUAUCUUUGCGAAGAUAGCUGAAGGUACCGUAUGAAUAAGCAUCGGCUAACUCCGUGCCAGCAGCCGCGGUAAUACGGAGGAUGCGAGCGUUAUCCGGAUUUAUUGGGUUUAAAGGGUGCGUAGGCGGACAAAUAAGUCAGUGGUGAAAUCACUCAGCUUAACUGAGUAACUGCCAUUGAUACUGUUAGUCUAGAAUGUAAAUGGAGUAGGCGGAAUGAAUCAUGUAGAGGUGACAUUCAUAGAUAUGAUUCAGAACACCGAUCGCGAAGGCAGCUUGCUAAGAUACAAUUGACGCUGAGGCACGAAAGCGUGGGUAGCAAACAGGCUUAGAUACCCCAGUAGUC